Non-coding RNA from Schistosoma rodhaini, 45 nucleotides. NCBI's taxonomy places the organism in Eukaryota, Metazoa, Platyhelminthes, Trematoda, Strigeidida, Schistosomatidae. The record is from Rfam.
AUCCACCUGACAAGUCCCAAAUGGGAUGAAGUGCGCGUCAUGGAU